Molecule: ribosomal RNA, 426 nt
Filed under: uncultured Sedimentibacter sp.
Lineage: Bacteria; Bacillati; Bacillota; Tissierellia
Description: bacterial SSU rRNA
Rfam family: Bacterial small subunit ribosomal RNA
Source: RNAcentral
UAGGGAAUAUUGGGCAAUGGGCGCAAGCCUGACCCAGCAACGCCGCGUGAGGGAAGAAGGUUUUCGGAUUGUAAACCUCUGUCCUUGGUGACGAAGGAAGUGACGGUAGCCAAGGAGGAAGCCCCGGCUAACUACGUGCCAGCAGCCGCGGUAAUACGUAGGGGGCGAGCGUUGUCCGGAAUGACUGGGCGUAAAGGGUGUGUAGGCGGUUUUACAAGUUAGAUGUGAAAUACCCAGGGCUUAACUCGGGUGCUGCAUCUAAGACUGUAAGACUUGAGUGUCGGAGAGGUAAAUGGAAUUCCUAGUGUAGCGGUGGAAUGCGUAGAUAUUAGGAGGAACACCAGUGGCGAAGGCGAUUUACUGGACGAUAACUGACGCUGAGGCACGAAAGCGUGGGGAGCAAACAGGAUUAGAUACCCUGGUAGU